CUAGACCCUCGAUUCCAUCGCUCAAAACCUUCCCUCCUGCUCCGAUCGUUCAACUAGACCCUUGAUUCCUAAAUCAAAACCUUCCCUCCUGCUGCGAUUUUGAAAUCCAAAUCCCCCUUUAUGCGAUUUCGAGCUGCGAGCACCCUCGAUUCCUGCGACGAUUUCCUAAACCAAACCCUUCCUCCUGCGAUUUCAAAAACCAAACCCUCCCCUGCUGCGAUUUCGAGCUGCGAUUCUCUAAACUCGUUCAGCUACUCGUCUAGCUCUCCACUUCUGCAGGUUCUCUAAACUCGUUCGGCUAUGAUAAUCCUGACCCAUGAUGAUAAUCUGAUUGGGGCAAAAAAAAUUCCUGCAAUUUCAUUGUGAAAUCGAAUUGGGGUUAUUCGCAAUUGAAGCUGUGAAAUCAAAUUGGGGCAAAAAGUACUGGUAAUCUUGGUUUUUCUUGGUUUCAAUUCUUUUCAGGACUUGCUAUUUAUGACUAAGCUAUUCUGUUAAGCAGUACUGGUAAUCUUGGUUUUGUACCAAGCUUAAGAUUGUUUGAUUGCAGCUUUUAAUUUUAACAACAGUCUAAUGUGAACUUACCUACCAUCUGUCCAGAAAGAAACAUGCUAUAUUAGUACUUGAAUUAGUUCAUGUUAUUGGGCGCUUUUUUUCUGAUGUCUGCUACAAAUUAUAGGAAUGGAUCCCAACAUUCAGCUUGUGGUUAAAUAACACUGCUUUGCAUAUUGCUUUAUAUAUGUUCAUUAAGUUUUCCCCAGUUUAUAUUUGUCAUUUUGCUCGUAUCUAUUUUUGAUGGGGAUUUUUAUAGAUUAUUUAAUACUCGACAUUUUGAUGAAUGUGUAGGAAACAUAUGGAUAUUAAUCCCGGACCUGCUAAUCCUAUUGUGUUAUGGGACCAAGAAAAUCACGUAUCUUCAGACUUAUGGCAAAAUAUUGUAAGUUUAUUUAUGUAUAACAACUUUCAUUUUGUUAAACAUUUGUUAGAAACAUUCAUGUUGUGACGAUUUAUGUUUUUAUGUUGUUGGACGUGUAGGAUAGGGGUGUGUUAGAAAUUUGUCAAAUGUCUGCAAAAUUAACUGAAUGGAACUUGACUGAACAACAAGAAUAUUUGCUGGAACAAGUAGGUUUUGGUAUAUUUUGUCAUCAAGUUAUAGUGUCAAAGAUUGAUGCAUCUCUUGUAUCUGCUCUAGUUGAACAUUGGAGAAGUGAAACAAAUACGUUUCACUUAAAUUGUGGAGAGAUUACCAUUUCUUUAGAGGACGUGGGAUUUUUAUUUGGGUUGCCCGUAUUAGGAAAAGCUUUGACUUGCGAAGAAUUAGAAAAUCCCAAAAUCUAUUUUAUAAGGGUUUUUGGGCAACAAGUUGUAGUAGAUGAGUGGGAACAAUGCUAUAAAAGGGGGGGCAUAAGUUUGCCCUGGUUAAGACAGAGAUAUGGUUAAGUACCUGGUGAUGCUACUCCAGAUGAUGUCGUAAAACACACUAAGGAAUAUCUGUUGUACUUGUGUGGCGCUAUUUUGUUUCCAACCAAGUGUAAAAAUGUUGUGCAUCCUAGAUAUUUGUUGUUAUUAGAAAGAUUGGAAGACGUAGUUACAUAUGCUUGGGGGGCGGCAGUUUUAGGGCAUUUGUAUAGGGGUUUGCAUGAGGCUACUCGCAAAACAACGAAAAAAUUCGCAGGUUGUGCAACCCUUCUUAUGAUGUGGGCUCAUGAACGGUUCAACAUCGGUCGUCCUACCCAUAAGCCUAUGUCCCAGAAGUUGAUACCUAGGGCACUAUCCUGGGCAUACUCCUCUUUUGAUCCUAAUUCAAAACAAUAUCAGCUCCUUAAAAAUCCACAUCACCAUCUUUUGUUUUACCGAGGAGAGUUUGAUAAUAUGUUGGAAACAGAUGGGGUGUGGCGUCCAUAUCAGUUAUUUGAUAGACGUUUAUCUUGGGAUUUUUUUUGAGGCAAGGUUAGGUGGAGCUGCUCGUAUACCAUUGAUACAUUACGACAUUGUUGAGUUCCAAAUGCCUGACAGAUUUAUGAGGCAAUUUGGAUAUUUGCAGUCGUAUCCAUCUAAUGCUGAAAAUAUGAAAGAAUUGCGGAAGGAACAUAAAUUAUUUGAGAGAAUAAAUUUUGAAAAUCAUAAGGCCAACUAUAUUCGAUUGUGGGAUGCAUACAUGGAGAGUUUAGAAGAACAAGUGUUGGAGGCUUUGCAGCAUAUAUCUACCGAGGAUUAUAUGACGUGGUAUAGAGAAAUUACUCGACGACGGAUACACCAUACUCGACCCUUUAGGCGUCAAGGGGAAGAUUAUUAGCCACGGGUUUUCAUUGACCAAUAUUUGGCUGUAAACACUGUAAGUUAUUCAAUUUAUAAUAUUUAUUAAUGUUUUUGUUUUAAUAAAACUGAUUAUCUUGUUUUAUUAAUAUAAUUUUUUUAUUUAAUUGUAGAUUGAGAGUGCAAAAGUUAUAUUUGAAAAGAUGUUGUCAAUUGGACAUCCACAUGAGUUAAGAACCAUGUAUGACACAUAGUUCAAUACAUUAUACCAGCCGUUCAUGAAUGACUAUAGAGGGGUUCCAUUCAAUCCAAAUCCAACACAACCUCAAGUUGGACAGAUGGAGAUUGACAUGACAAGAUCCCAACCUACAGUUGGGCAGAUGGAGAUUGACAUGACAGGAUCCCAACCUACAGUUCUAGAGACUCAGCCUAGCAUUGGCCCUUCUACUCGACAUAGUAAGAAAGUGCCAGCUAGAAGGAUGGAGGGAACAAAGCACACUCACUUUUUUAAGUACUUAAAGAUGGAAAAAAUCAAUUAGCUAAAUCAUCAUUGGUUUAGUCCAACUCACGACCCAUCAGACUUUCCUCAUAGCCAUCCAGAAGGUCUAUACAAGUUUUAAUUUAAAGAUGUUAAUUGUUUGAGACCCAAUGGUUGGUUAUGGGAACAUGUAUUGGAUGCUUAUUUAUUGUUGUUGCGAGAUAGAGAAGCUAAAAUGUGUAAAGAAGGUAUCCAAAGAUGGGCUCGAUUUUAUUUCAUGCCAACGUACUUUGCGUUGUUAGGUACCCAAAACUUACCAAGUGCCGGAGUAGACAUGCCAACCAUAUGAAAAUUUCUAAGAAGUUACAUCACUCCUACAGUUGGUGCCCCAGUACAUGAGUGUGACUACAUAUUCGUUCCAGUCUUCAACGAAACCAACAGUCAUUUUUGCUUGUUUAUUUGGAGUGUCAACAAGUGGAAAGUAAUGCUACUUGACCCACUUUAUGAUGACAAACCAUUAAUGCCAUUGUCACAAUUAUACCAAAACUUCUUUGCGGUUGUGGUGAGUUUAUUAAUAUAUUUCUUGUUUUUCAUGUCAUUACACAGACUUGUAAUUCCUUCUACUUUAGACUUAUAAGUAAUGGGUUUCUGGUUUAUAGGUGGAGUUAAUUCCUUUGCUGCUUCGUCAGGCAAAUCCUAUAGCAAAGUGGCCAAAAGCGAAGCCGAAAGUUGAAGUCUGUGUGAAUAGACCAAGACAAUGGAACGCAUACGAUUGUAGCAUAUAUGUUGCAAAGUAUGUGGAUUUUUUUUUGCACCGUAUAAACAUCAUGGAGGAACCGAGGUGGACUCUUAACGAGGCUUAUAAUUUUAGAUUUAGAAUAGCACAUGAGCUUAGGAUGAGCAAAGCUAGGAACAUUCCUGCAAAAUAUAUUUGUAAUAAACAAACUUUAGAUUUGGAUUUAAAUGAAGACUAGUGAAUGUAUAUUUGACUAACUUUUGUAAUACGUUGAUUUAGUAACUCGGUUACUAGUUUCAAAAUGAUUCAAUCUUUUGUAUGUACGUUAAUAUGGAUGUCGUUCUAAGCAAUGUGUAUUUAAGUUUGUAUAUAUAAGUUUUAGAUUAGUUUCCUUGAUAAUUAUAUGCUGUUGGUUUCUUAGAAUAUGGAUAAACUAUUUUUUGAGAUAGGUGUUGGUAUUUAGCUCACAUCUACAAGUAAGCUGAUUCUCCACUACUUUUAAAAGCAGGAGAUGGUGUUUGUCUUCAUCAUACUGAUAUGUCAUUUUCUUUAACAACAUUGGGAUUCUAGUGCAUUGCCGAUAAAACGUUCAUUCAAGAUCCAUCAGUAACCAUCUUCUGGGUACAAUUUUGAUUUCAAUUGUUUCAUUGUACUUUCAUUUUUCAGCCUAUUGGUAUUUUGAAGGUAGUGCUAAAUUAUAUUUGUGGUGUCUCUUCUUUUGGCCACAGGGCUGAAGUCUGCAAGUACAUGAAUAAAAUCUGCAAACUUGGUUAAAUAUUAAAAGGACCUGUUGCACUGAGUCUGUUUUGAAACUUAUCUUUUCUCCUCAUGUUCCCUGUUACUGCAUUAUCACUCCCUUUCUGGAAGAAACUGUGUACAGAGGAUUUCUGCUGACAUAUCUUGCUUCCACAUUGGAAUGGCAGCAAGCAGUCAUCAUAAGUUCUGCCAUUUUUAGUGCAGAUCACCAUCAGUUACUGGAGGAAAUCCCGCUGCCAAUAAAGUGAUUUCAUUUUUCUUUAUUUCUUUAUUACUAAGCAACAGUUUGAGGGUUGCACUGAUUUUUGUGACAUAACAUCAUGGAUAUAAGGUUAUCCCACCCUACUGAUGCUGCUGCUGAGCUGCGCCAUGUCAUGACCAACAAUUAUUUUGUUUCAUAUUGGUACAAUCAUAUAAUGGUUUGUUUCAUUUUGGUACAAUCAUAUAAUGGUUUGAUUCCCUUACCAUGCUUUUGUCCACACUUGACCAUGCUUUGUGACCUUGAAACUGUUUUGUGUAUAAACAUAAAGUAGUGCACUCUAGUGUGCUUGAGACAUACAUAACAUCAUGGAUAUAAGGUUAUCCCACCCUACUGAUGCUGUUGCUGAGCUGCGCCAUGUCAUGACCAACUGUUAUUUUGUUUCAUAUUGGUACAAUCAUAUAAUGGUUUGAUUCUAUUGUCAAGUCAGGUUUGAGUCUAGAUUUCUUUGACAGUUUUGGUCAUUCUCUUGACAGUUGUCUUUUUAUUGGCUGUUUAUUAAUUUCUUCAGGUAUAAUGACCAGUUUUUAUUUUUAUUUUGCAUAGUAAGUUACUACCACCCAGUGUUGUCUGAUAUUGUUCUUGAUCUGCAUCAGCAACUUAAACUUGUUAUGGAUUCCAUAAUAUGGGCUUUCCGUCACACUGAAAGGAACAUUGGUGAAACGGGGCUGAACCUUUUGUUGGAGAUGCUGAAGAACUUUCAAGUGUGAUUAUCAUCCACCAUCGCUAGUGAUUUCUGCUGACAGUCCUUGAAUUGGAUACAAGUGGAGGGGCUACUGUUGUUUAAACAUAGCAGGCAUGAGUUGUGUAUGCAAUAGUGAAUCCAACCUAGCAAAUUAACUUUCCUUUUCUUUCUCUUUUCUCCACCCUAGCAUAAUUUAGCUUCUGUUUUUCAUUUUAUAUCUGAAGCGACUUUUAUUACAUGGCUCUUAACACAUCAUAGAUGAAAGUUUCAUUUCUGAUUAGUGAUGUCUUAUGAAUCUUUUUACAGGGGAAGUACACUCAUUGAAAGUUGACUGAAUUUUACUCUAAUAUGGAAUUGCCUUUUCAUACUAAUGCUGUAGAAGCUGUACAUGUGUUAGAAUUUCUUUGAGACUUCAUGUUAUCUAUGAUUUGUCCAAACUCUCAUUUACUCAGUGAACCGCAUAUUCAACUUGCAGGUUUCUCUUGAUUGAACCGCAUAAUGAUAUUUGAUUUAUCUCUAUUACUUUACUGAUAUAUAGACUGUCUUAAAGAUUACUGAUAUUACUUUACUCUAAUUUGUCUGCAUUAAUACAGGUGAACAUAUAUGAUGAUAACUGGAAGAAGCUGUGGUUUGGGUCAUUAAUAUUUUAUGAAGUAAGUGAAGAAGUCGAGGUGGAUGUCUUCAACCUGACACAGUGGAAUUCAAAAUUAGAUUUGGCUUGUCGAAUUAUGCUUGUAAUGGGUCAUUGUAACAAUUUAGCAAAUUCUUUUUGUAAUAUAACAUAUUAAUAUAUUCGAAGUAAAUUUUUAUUUUUAUUUGUAAUAUUCUUUUCUCCGUACGACUAGUAUUUAGAAAUACAAGCUCUAACUCAUUCAGUA
Molecule: long non-coding RNA, 6045 nt
Filed under: Panax ginseng (ginseng)
Lineage: Eukaryota; Viridiplantae; Streptophyta; Magnoliopsida; Apiales; Araliaceae
Description: long non-coding RNA (PGIN_LNC000927)
Source: RNAcentral